GCUUACUGGGCUAGAGGCGCAGCAGGUCGAUACAAAGAAUGCCUACACUAACUGCGACGAUGUCUGCAGGGGCCGCGCUGCUUUUCGCGGCGCUCGCUUUAGGGCAAGGUGCUGAUGGGCAGUCAAAUUGCGACAUACAGCGCAAGACUGACUGCUAUUGGUCCGUUGCUGUCAAGUACGGAAUAUUUCCACUUGCACAAGAAGUCGUUCAUGGCGAGGAGUACUAUCUGGGAGACCUGUGCAAAAGCAAUCCAGACACUUGCUACGUGGAAACUAACAGCACCUGUACCGAUGCCGAAAAGAAUAAAUUCACCCGGAUGGAACGAGGCUACGCUGUCCUCCGUGAAGAAAUUACCUCUCCAAACUGCCAGU
This is a non-coding RNA of Dermacentor albipictus, 372 nucleotides long. Lineage: Eukaryota; Metazoa; Arthropoda; Arachnida; Ixodida; Ixodidae. The record is from RefSeq and is a predicted model, not a curated record.